UUUUAGGUGUUUGAUCCGUGACGUUUCGUCGAAAAAUCACAAGCGCGCAUGCCGUAGGUGUUUGCCUGGUUGCAAGAUCUUGCCGAUUUCAACGUUUUUCCACCUCUUCGGUAAGUACUUGACAUGCCUGGAUUACUGCAAUCAGCACGUUCUUAGCACUUUCUUCUUUGGCUCCCCACCGCGCUCAGGUUGGCGUACGCUGAACUGGACCCUCGCUGCAAGAAUGGCACGUGGGAGUAAGUUUUAUUUGUGACGCGAUUUGGUUUAUCUUCCGCAGAAACUGUUAAGCUCACAAUGCUGAUAUGUUGUUGUCGGCCACGUGUGUAGAUUGACACCGCGAUCGUGGAACACAUGGCUGAUCUGCCUCGAAUAACUGCAAGCCGGUGCGUGCGUAGUGCCGUGGAGAACGAUCAGAAGUCCUGGACGACAAAGAAAAAAACUUCAAAGCUGCCUCUGCGAACCCCGCUCCUGGACAACAGCUGGGAGGCUCUGUGUUUAAACGCGUGCACCUUGGACGUCAUGCUCCUGCCUCUGCAAGCCCUUUUGCUGGACGCC
This is a long non-coding RNA of Rhipicephalus sanguineus (brown dog tick), 555 nucleotides long. RefSeq lists it as uncharacterized. The record is from RefSeq and is a predicted model, not a curated record. The transcript is spliced from 3 exons. NCBI's taxonomy places the organism in Eukaryota, Metazoa, Arthropoda, Arachnida, Ixodida, Ixodidae.